RNAcentral lists this ribosomal RNA (301 nucleotides) under uncultured bacterium. RNAcentral describes it as "partial 16S ribosomal RNA". It matches the Rfam family "Bacterial small subunit ribosomal RNA", at positions 509 to 807 of the family's 1533-position model. The record is from RNAcentral.
CAGUAGCCGCGGUAAAACGAAGGGUGCAAGCGUUAAUCGGAAUUACUGGGCGUAAAGCGUGCGUAGGCGGUGAGUUAAGUCUGCUGUGAAAUCCCCGGGCUCAACCUGGGAAUGGCAGUGGAUACUGGCUCGCUAGAGUGUGUCAGAGGAUGGUGGAAUUCCCGGUGUAGCGGUGAAAUGCGUAGAGAUCGGGAGGAACAUCAGUGGCGAAGGCGGCCAUCUGGGACAACACUGACGCUGAGGCACGAAAGCGUGGGGAGCAAACAGGAUUAGAUACCCGCGUAGUCCCUGUCUCUUAUAC